Molecule: small RNA, 1138 nt
Filed under: Pongo abelii (Sumatran orangutan)
Lineage: Eukaryota; Metazoa; Chordata; Mammalia; Primates; Hominidae
Description: processed transcript
Source: RNAcentral
AAAUUUAUUGUCCAGCACCACCACAAAUUGACAAUGGAAUAAUUCAAGGGAAACGUGACCAUUAUGGAUAUAGACAGUCUAUAACGUAUGCAUGUAAUAAAGGAUACACCAUGAUUGGAGAGCACUCUAUUUAUUGUACUGUGAAUGAUGAUGAAGGAGAAUGGAGUGGCCCACCACCUGAAUGCAGAGGAAAAUCUCUAACUUCCAAGGUCCCACCAACAGUUCAGAAACCUACCACAGUAAAUGUUCCAACUACAGAAGUCUCACCAACUUCUCAGAAAACCACCACAAAAACCACCACACCAAAUGCUCAAGCAACACGGAGUACACCUGUUUCCAGAACAACCAAGCAUUUUCAUGAAACAACCCCAAAUAAAGGAAGUGGAACCACUUCAGGUACUACCAGUCUUCUAUCUGAGUCUUACUCUGUCACCCAGGCAAGAGUGUGGUGAUGUGCUCUUGGCUCACUGCAACCUCUGCCUCCUGAGUUCAAGCAAUUCUCCUGCCUCAGCCUUCGGAGUAGCUGGGAUUACAGAGCUGCAGACCUUCGCAGUGAGUGUUAUAGCUUUUAAAGGUGGCGCGUCUGGAGUUGUUUGUUCCCUUCAGUGGGUUCGUGGUCUCGCUGGCCUCAGGAAUGAAGCUGCAGACCUUCGCGAAUUAUACCUGGACAUCUUUUGCCAGGUGACUUUUCAGUGCCUUCCACUAUAGUAGAUGGAAUAUACUUCCCCACUCCAUUGAGCCCAUUUUUUGUUGGCUAACCUAUAGUUUUAAGAUUGUAAUUUUUUAAAUCUAGUUACCUUGGUUGCUUUUUAGAGAGCUAUUCGUCCCAAUAACUUAGACCACCAUUAUUUAAAAAUGGAAUUCCUAACCACAAUGUAUGUACCUCAUCAUAGGAAGGAACACAAAUGGGGGAGUAGAAGAAAACAGAAAUGUAUUAAUAGGCGACAGUGAGUACUUCAGCUUUAUGCGUAAUGUUUUAUUUCCUGUAUUACAAAGUAAAAGAUAUGAAGCAUUUGACUAAAAAUGUUAAUUUAUAUAAUUUGAAUGAUGGGUACAUGGGCAGUUGUUAUAUUUAUAUAUACUUUUAUGUAUUCUAAAUUUUUUUCUCAAAAUAAAAAAGAGAAACAGUCAAGGGUUA